CUGCCCCUGCUGCAGUCCAGAUUUAUAAGAGCCACAGAUCCUAGGCACUGGUUUGGCACAAGACUUCCCGAGCAGGACAUGUAACCCACAAAGUUUAGCCAGUAUCCAGGGCUGCUCACAGCUUUGCUUCUUGUGAGAUUAAACGACGAUGAUGGUCUUAAAAUGGUUUUACCACAAGAAAACUGCCCCACAAGGAAUACACCUGUUGUCUUCCCCUGAGGCCUCACACUGCCAGUCUGAGGAGUUUACAACUAAAUGAUAGAUCCAGAGGGUUUACCACAUGAUCAUGGGGAAAAAAUACAGAUGUGUUUGGAGAAGAGGUUCUCAGCCACUCAAAGAUAGCCUGAUGAAUUACGAACCACACUGAAUGUACCCUCACCUGAUGAAAGGUCUCGAGAUGGCCAGGACGGUCCGGAUGAACCACGUCGGGUGAGCGAUGAGGAGACACUUUAGAUUCUUCCUCAGUCUGCAGGAGACAUUCAAGUGUUUGUGAUGCUUUCCUCCUUCUAAUAAUCAUUUCAAUCAUAAUAUCAUCAUUUAUCUUUAGCAUCAACAACAUUAGUUUUACAUUCUUGACUCUAUUGUCGAUUCCAUCACAUUUGCCCUAACUGUUUUGAUAUGUUGUCCGUCUUACUUCCUGUCAAUCAUCUGGUAGCAUCUCUUCAGCCAGCUGAUGCCGGGCAUCUUCCUGCGAGGAGUCGCUCCGUUCAGGUAAACAAUCAUGUAAUCUUCUGCCACCAGCAGCUCCAGGCUGCUCACAACGUACCUGAGGACAGAGCAAACAAGCUCAGAUCGGACUCAAGACUGUACAGUAACAUACAAGAUGAAAACUCUUUACUUGACCGAAUUCCUAUGUUCACAUUAAGUGGAACCAAUCCAGAUAUGUACUUCACAAAGUAAUGAAGCCAAAAUGAGUGUUGUUAAACGUAUUCAUCUUUCAUCACUAGCAUGUAAUGUUAAUACUCGUUUCAAAUGUGAUUCGACAUGCAUAUUUUAUGGAGACAUGUUCUCCAGUCACGUCCUUUGAUCAAUUAUACAGUGAAGAAAAGAAUAAAGUAGAAGAAUAUCGUUAUAAAAAGGCGCAUAAUACAGCAUGCUACUGUCAAAGAGUCCCCUAAGAGACCAGAGGGGAUCUUACAGGAAGAGAUUCUCCAUGAUGUACGUGUAGUCCUCACAGCCGCUGUCAGGAAGGUGGCAGGCUGCAAACACGAUGAUGGCAUUCAGACCCUCGCCAUAGUAACCUGAAAGAGGAGAGAGAGACACGCACAUUCAGUAUGAUGGUAGCUGUAUUGGCAGAGUUGUAUUUCAGUUGUAUGUUAUAUCAGUCGCUCACAACUUUUCAUUUAAAUGUUUGCUUUCAUUAAUGAUUUGCUUGUUGUGGGUUGGAUCUGGUUAAUGUCAUUAAACAUAUUUUCAAUGUGAAGCACGUGAGUUUCCCUUUCUGCAUGAAAUGUGCCGUAUAAAGAAGUGUGCUUUUCUUUUCUUUCCAUCCUUUACGAGUUCUAAUGUCCUUUUAUGGUCUAAAUGUUGUUUCAGGCUUUUCCACCCUGAUAGGACUAUUACAUUCCUGGUGAACACUUGUAAUAACUGGUACAAAAGCUAUUCAGAAGUUCAAAUAUUUACGUACAAAAAUCCAAAGGCUCUUUUAAUUAUUUUGUAUUCAUGUUUAGCACAGGUGAAUUAAAUGCACUAAGGUUUUUCUAUUAUUUUGUCCACCAUGCACUACAUUUAUAUCAAUGAGAGUAGACAAAAUAAUAGAAACACACGUCAAUAUAAUACAGUUUAAAAACACCACAAACUACGUCCUCUAAAAUGAUCAUAAAGUUGAGAAGUUAGAGAGCAUUUAUAAGAGAGACAAUCAUCCAUCCAUUAUCUGUAAUUGCUUUUAAUCAGGAAGCUGAAGAGCUAUGAAAUAGCAUACCAAAGCCUGGUUGAAAGCAUUUUGUCAUUUAACACAACAGCAUGGUGUUGAGUGCCAAGAGCAAAAACAAGCUCUCCAAGAUAGUUAAUAUUGCAUGGAAGUUGAUUGGCAAGUCAAAGAAAGAACUUUGCAAUAUAUUUGACAGUGCUGUACACAGGAAUGCUGAACACAUAGCUGCAGAUACCUCACAUCCACUACACUCAAAGUCUGAGCUGCUUCCGUCUUACCUUCAAUUUAGAGUCCCAAAGAUCAGCCGCAACAUAAAUAAGAAGUCUUUUAUUCCCCAUGCCAUACAGGCUUUGAACUCAGAAUGACUCCAUUAUAUUUAAAUAACUUUACGUUAUUUUAUAAGAUGUGCUCUCUUUUAUUAUUUAUAUAACGAGUUGCUACAUGCCCAUUGUUCUACUGUAUAUACUGUAUAUUUGCAUGUAUUAAUGAUGUGUUUUGUUAUAUGUAUUGUAUGUAACUUUUCUGUAUUCAUAAGUCAAUGACAAAUUUCCACUGAGGUGGACAAUAAAUAUAUCUAUCUAAGUUGAAUCAACACCGCUCUAAACUCGAAACUCUUCUUCCAAGUUCAUAAUAUUUGCAUAAAAAAACGUACUGCUAUAUCAUCAACUUUGAUCUAAAACUGUUCUGUUAGUACUGGUGUUUCAAAACCCAUUUUGGAUGAAUCCUAACACACACACACACACACACACACACACACACACACGCGCACACACACAAGCUCCCCAUACACACAGACACAGACUCAGGUAUUUAAAUAUAAGAACACACUGGUUUACUAACCUCCAUGUGUAACCACCCUCAGGUACGGUCGAAUGACCUGCAUGUCAAUCCGCUGCUCCUGGUCACCGAUGAUCACUGUUCGCCACAGACGACCUGAGGAGUCUCUCUCCUCUUCACUUUCACCUGGAAGACGCUUGGCAUUGGCCACAGGAGUGUCAUCUGGACACAAGCUCGUUGCCAUUGUUGAGGAACUCCAGCGAGUCGGUCUCAUCAGGAGUCUCGAUGUCGUCUACGUUGAUGUCCAGGUCGUCGGGCGUUUCCAGAAACUCGUCAGACAGCACCGACCCCUCGCUCUGAUCCAGGGACAG
Sebastes umbrosus (honeycomb rockfish) is the source of this 3018-nucleotide long non-coding RNA. RefSeq lists it as uncharacterized. The record is from RefSeq and is a predicted model, not a curated record. Lineage: Eukaryota; Metazoa; Chordata; Actinopteri; Perciformes; Sebastidae. The transcript has 4 exons.